Molecule: long non-coding RNA, 832 nt
Organism: Homo sapiens (human)
Lineage: Eukaryota; Metazoa; Chordata; Mammalia; Primates; Hominidae
Gene: CA3-AS1
Product: CA3 antisense RNA 1
Exons: 3
Source: RefSeq, marked validated
AUAUGCAAGCUCACUUAAGACAUUCAAGGAGGUCUGGAUCCUUUCCUCACUGCCCAGGCCCGGGCCCACCCCACCUUUAACCGUCAGGGUUCCCCACUACCUGGGAAGCCCCACACCCUCCAAAGAUGCGCUAGGUGCGCCAGACGCAUGCUCCUCUGCUCCGCUGGCUCCGAAGAACCAGAUCUGAGGCCAAGAUAAAACCCGAUUCCUGAUGUCCGACCCCCUAACAUUAGAAGUCGAGAGAUGAAGGGAAAACUCGGAAAUCAGAGCCAUGGAUUCAAACCAGCACUGGAAAAUGCCCCGGGACAGUUCGUGCUGAGCGCCUUAGCCACAGGAAACAUUUUCCUGGGCAUCUAAAAGUAUUGUGGACCUGAGACACUGUGCUUACAGGGCCUACUGGUUUUCACUGUAUGAGACCGAGAAUGGAUUAUGGCAGUUCCUCUUACCUCCGCUGCAUACUUGACUCCAUCCACGGUGUGCUCAGAGCCAUGAUCAUCCGAAGAGCCCCAGUGAAGAUGAAACUGGCGAAGUCGGUAGGGUCCAGGGAGAGGACCCCCUCUCAGCACUGUGAUUCAGAUAAGCUUGGUCAACAGUGAAUUCAUGCUUCUUUUACAGAGCUCUACUUUAACCAAGUGCUCUUAGAGCCAAGGCUUAAUGGACAAAAUGUGGUCAGUUUGCUGGGUGGAUGGUGCCACUCCCAGGACACUGGACUCCUCACAAAAUGAAGUCUGGGGAUAUGUCAAGAUAAAUGAUUGUUCUUUUCUGUCUUUCUUAUUUUGUUUGCUUGUUUCAUUAUUAUUGAAACAUCAUUUUAACAUUUAGGAAAGCAAAA